GGGGAAUUAGCUCAAGUGGAAGAGCACUCGCUUUGCGUGCGAGGGGUAGUGGGAUCGAUACCCACAUUCUCCA
Delphinapterus leucas (beluga whale) is the source of this 73-nucleotide non-coding RNA. The record is from the annotation of a RefSeq genome assembly. NCBI's taxonomy places the organism in Eukaryota, Metazoa, Chordata, Mammalia, Artiodactyla, Monodontidae.